Molecule: long non-coding RNA, 1926 nt
Filed under: Arabidopsis lyrata
Lineage: Eukaryota; Viridiplantae; Streptophyta; Magnoliopsida; Brassicales; Brassicaceae
Description: long non-coding RNA (ALYR_LNC002138)
Source: RNAcentral
AGAUGUGGUUCGAACUUAUAACACAGUAAAGUGAAGUAUCUCAUUGAUAACUUGAUAAAGAUUAGCAGAGAUUGAAGUUUUCUCUAUAGCAGAAUAUUGAAUGUUAUCAUGCUGUCCCAGCCAAAGCAAACUGUCUUUAGAAGAAACAACCCUUCUUUAAAGGAACACAAUUUUUCUCCAUAUGUGCAGAACAUUGAAUGUUAUCAUGCUGUCCCAGCCACAGCAAACUGUUUUUAGAAGAGACAAGACUUCUUUAAAGGAACACAAUUGUUUCCAUAUGAGCAGAACAAUGAAUGUUCUCAUGCUGUCCCAGCCACAGCAAAGUAUCUUUAAAGGGACACAAUCAUCUCCAUAUGAGCAGAACAUUGAAUCUUAUAACGCUGUCCCAGCCACAGCAAACUGUCUUUAAAAGAGACAAGCCUUCUUUAAAGGAACACAAUUGUUUCCAUAUGAGCAGAACAAUGAAUGUUCUCAUGCUGUCCCAGCCACAGCAGAGUAUCUUUAAAAGGACAAGCCUUCUUCAAAGAGACACAAUUAUCUCCAUAUGAGCAGACCAUUGAAUGUUAACAUGCUGUCCCAGCUCCAGUAAAAUAUCUCUAAUCGGACAAUCGAGCUUUCCCAUCUUAGAAAGCCAGCCUUAUCAAAGGACUUCUAUUCUCCAUUAAUUUGCAGAAUAUUGAAUAGUAUGGUUUAAGCAGAGAACAUUGAUCACUGUUAUUAUGUUGCCCCAGCCACAACAAACUAUCUUUAAAUAUAAGUCCUAUUAAAGAACCUUUAUGUUCCAUCAAUUUGCAGAGUAUUGAAUAUCAUAUCUCAGUGAGAUGUAUGGUUUAAGCAGAGAUUGAAGUUUUCUCUAUAGCAGAAUAUUGAAUGUUAACCAUGUUGUCCCAGCUACAACAAUAUAUCUUUAAUCGAACAAUUGCCUUAUUAAAGGACUUUUAUUCUCCAUCAGUUUGCAAAACACUGAACUGUAUCGUUUAAGCAGAGAAUUGAAAUUCUCGGAACAUCAUUGUUCAAGCCUUAAUAAAGACUGACUUUAGCAGAAUUCUGAAUUUUAUAUCAAGCUGUCCCAGCACAGCAAGACAUAGAUUGACAAGCAUAUGUAAUUAUGAGCAGAACACUGAAUAUUAAUAUGCUGCCCCAGCCACAUCAAACUAUCUUUUAAUAGACACUCGAGAUUCUAACCUCGGAACACCAUCAAACGUAAGUCCUAUUAAAGAACAUUUAUGCUCCAUCAAUUUGCAGAGUAUUGAAUAUCAUAUCUGUGAGAUGUAUAGUUUAAGCAGAGAUUGAAGUUCUAUACAGCAGAAUGUUGAAUGUUAAUGCUGUCCCAGCUCCAGCAAUAUAUCUAUAAUCGGACAAUUGCCUUAUCAAAGGACUCUUAUUCUCCAUCAAGUUGCAGAACAUUGAACUGUAUCGUUUAAGUGUAUCGUUUAAGCAGAGAACAGAAUUUCUCGGGACAUCAUUGUCCAAGCCUUAACAAAGGCUGAUCUUAGCAGAAUUUGAAGUUUAUAUCAAGCUGUCCCAGUACAGCAAGACAGAGAUUGACAAGCAUAUGAUCUUAGGUUUUGUUAGGCAACAUCGGACUAUGCAGUCCGAGCAAUAUAUCUUUGUCCGGACAAUUGUAUUAUUCAGUUUGCAGAAUAUUGAAUUGUAUCGUUUAAGUAGAGAAUUGAAAUUCUCGGGACAUCAUUGUCCAAGCCUUACUUAAUAAAGGCUGCAGAAAUUUGAAGUUUAUGUCAAGCUGUCCCAGUACAGCAAGACAAUGAAACUAUAGAGAUUGAUUUCUCCAAUCUUUUACUCACGGACAUAGAUCGACAAGCAUAUGAUCUUAGGCAACAUCGGGACUAUACGGGACAAUUUUCCCAAGUUAGAAACCGGACAGACACAAUCAUAUAAUGUGUGUUGUCCCUUUCUUUUGGGUUU